UACGUAGGGGGCUAGCGUUGUCCGGAAUCAUUGGGCGUAAAGCGCGUGUAGGCGGUCCGGUAAGUCCGCUGUGAAAGUCGGGGGGCUCAACCCUCGGAUGCCGGUGGAUACUGUCGGGCUUGAGUACGGAAGAGGCGAGUGGAAAUUCCUGGUGUAGCGGUGAAAUGCGGCAGAGUAUCAAGGAGGGAACACCAAUUGCGAAGGCAGACUC
This 211-nucleotide ribosomal RNA is filed under the name uncultured bacterium. Its description in RNAcentral is "partial 16S ribosomal RNA". It matches the Rfam family "Bacterial small subunit ribosomal RNA", at positions 524 to 727 of the family's 1533-position model. The record is from RNAcentral.